UACAGAGGGUGCAAGCGUUAAUCGGAAUUACUGGGCGUAAAGCGUGCGUAGACGGUCAUGUAAGUCGGGUGUGAAAGCCCCGGGCUCAACCUGGGAAUUGCAUUCGAGACUGCAUGGCUAGGAUGCGGAAGAGGGAAGCGGAAUUUCCGGUGUAGCGGUGAAAUGCGUAGAUAUCGGAAGGAACACCAGUGGCGAAAGCGGCUUCCUGGUCCAGCAUCGACGUUCAGGCACGAAAGCGUGGGUAGCAAACAGG
RNAcentral lists this ribosomal RNA (253 nucleotides) under uncultured bacterium. RNAcentral's name for it is "partial 16S ribosomal RNA". It matches the Rfam family "Bacterial small subunit ribosomal RNA", at positions 524 to 776 of the family's 1533-position model. The record is from RNAcentral.